This 509-nucleotide ribosomal RNA is filed under the name uncultured Glomeromycotina. RNAcentral describes it as "partial small subunit ribosomal RNA". It matches the Rfam family "Eukaryotic small subunit ribosomal RNA", at positions 591 to 1092 of the family's 1831-position model. The record is from RNAcentral. Lineage: Eukaryota; Fungi; Glomeromycota.
CCAAUAGCGUAUAUUAAGGUUGCUGCGGUUAACACGCUCGUAGUUGAAUUUCGGGAUUGAUGUAUUGGUCGUGCCUUAAGGGGUAUGAGCUGGUGUGGUCAAUUUCUUACCUUCUGGUGAAUUGUGAUGUCCUCCUUAAUUGGGUGUUUCAAUGAACUAGGACUUAUUACUUGGAAAAAAUUAGAGUGUUUAAAGCAGGCAUUAUUUGCUUGAAUAUAUUAGCAUGGAAUAAUAAAAUAGGACAAUGAUUCUAUUUUGUUGGUUUCUAGGAUCACUGUAAUGAUUAAUAGGGAUAGUUGGGGGCAUUAGUAUUCAAUUGUCAGAGGUGAAAUUCUUGGAUUAAUUGAAGACUAACUACUGCGAAAGCAUUUGCCAAGGAUAUUUUCAUUAAUCAAGAACGAAAGUUAGGGGAUCGAAGACGAUUAGGUACGUCGUAGUCUUAACCAUAAACUAUGCCGACUAGGAAACAGACAACGUUAAAUUUUUAAUGACUUUUAUGGCACCUUACG